ACAUAAGCAAAGAUGACAGAAGAGUGGUAGACGGCUAGAAGACCAACAUAAGCAGACUGUAAAAACCAGGAAGUUCUGGAAAAGAGACACCGAACAGAUCGUAAAGGAGUUUUUCAGAUAAUGGAUUCUUCUGGAGGAAGAAAUGACUUCCCAAGGAAAGCAGAAGUUCAGUAGCCAAAAGUAGGUGCUGACCCCUACAAGCCACCAACACUAUAACCAUCUCUCCACUGAAAAUUCUAGAAGGCUUAGGUCAUAGACCAUUCUAAUAGGCUUCAAUUCACUUAAGAAUCACUCACCUUCUCUGGUGUUCCAGCAACAGGACAUCCAAUGGGGAGGCAACUCCAGCACUCUAAGACAAGCCACUGAGAGCAAUGGACUGGCGUUUGGUUUUAUGGAAAUGUAUCCUUCCCUGAAAGCAUAGUUUCUAAGGAAGGCACUUCAAGGAGCACUUAAGUGUGUUUGUUCAACAUCCGGGUCUCUCAAGGGGCAGCACAUAAAUGCAUGCAUUUAAAAUUGUAACCCUCGGAAACAUUGAUUUCUGACGUGGCCGGGCAUCCUGAUAGUGAUCUUAGAGGAGCCAGUCCUGGAGGAGAGCACAUUUUUCUCCUGGGCUGGUCUCAGCUGACUACAGUAAAGUCCCAACGACUCUGAAACAUCUUCCUGCUUUUUAACCUUUUAAAGAAGGUAAACCCA
Molecule: long non-coding RNA, 693 nt
Organism: Mastomys coucha (southern multimammate mouse)
Lineage: Eukaryota; Metazoa; Chordata; Mammalia; Rodentia; Muridae
Exons: 2
Source: RefSeq, a predicted model, not a curated record